CAAUUUAUGUUAGAAUAUCUUAAAUAAAACCUGCCGGAAUAGCUCAGUUGGUAGAGCAGAGGACUGAAAAUCCUCG
RNAcentral lists this transfer RNA (76 nucleotides) under Grimmia ovalis. Its description in RNAcentral is "partial transfer RNA-Phe". The stretch from base 33 to 76 matches the Rfam family "tRNA", at positions 1 to 43 of the family's 71-position model. From Rfam's summary of the family: Transfer RNA (tRNA) molecules are approximately 80 nucleotides in length. Their secondary structure includes four short double-helical elements and three loops (D, anti-codon, and T loops). The record is from RNAcentral. Lineage: Eukaryota; Viridiplantae; Streptophyta; Bryopsida; Grimmiales; Grimmiaceae.